This 458-nucleotide ribosomal RNA is filed under the name uncultured Thiobacillus sp. Its description in RNAcentral is "bacterial SSU rRNA". It matches the Rfam family "Bacterial small subunit ribosomal RNA", at positions 919 to 1382 of the family's 1533-position model. The record is from RNAcentral. Lineage: Bacteria; Pseudomonadati; Pseudomonadota; Betaproteobacteria; Nitrosomonadales; Thiobacillaceae.
ACCCGCACAAGCGGUGGAUGAUGUGGAUUAAUUCGAUGCAACGCGAAAACCUUACCUACCCUUGACAUGUCCGGAAUCCUGCAGAGAUGCGGGAGUGCCCGAAAGGGAAUCGGAACACAGGUGCUGCAUGGCUGUCGUCAGCUCGUGUCGUGAGAUGUUGGGUUAAGUCCCGCAACGAGCGCAACCCUUAUCAUUAGUUGCUACGCAAGGGCACUCUAAUGAGACUGCCGGUGACAAACCGGAGGAAGGUGGGGAUGACGUCAAGUCCUCAUGGCCCUUAUGGGUAGGGCUUCACACGUCAUACAAUGGUCGGUACAGAGGGUUGCCAAGCCGCGAGGUGGAGCCAAUCCCAGAAAGCCGAUCGUAGUCCGGAUUGUUCUCUGCAACUCGAGAGCAUGAAGUCGGAAUCGCUAGUAAUCGCGGACCAGCAUGUCGCGGUGAAUACGUUCCCGGGUCUU